GACGAACGCUGGCGGCGUGCCUAACACAUGCAAGUCGAGCGGGGUAGCAGCAAUGUUACCUAGCGGCGGACGGGUGAGUAACACGUGGGCAACCUGCCCUAUAGAGGGGGAUAGCCACCCGAAAGGGUGAUUAAUACCGCAUAACCCAGUGGUAUCGCAUGGUACUAUUGGCAAAGCAGAAAUGCGCUAUAGGAGGGGCCCGCGGCCCAUUAGCUAGUUGGUGAGAUAGCAGCCCACCAAGGCGACGAUGGGUAGCCGACCUGAGAGGGUGAUCGGCCACAUUGGAACUGAGACACGGUCCAGACUCCUACGGGAGGCAGCAGUGGGGAAUAUUGCGCAAUGGGGGAAACCCUGACGCAGCAACGCCGCGUGAGUGAAGAAGGCCUUCGGGUCGUAAAGCUCUUUAAUCAGGGACGAAAAAUGACGGUACCUGAAGAAUAAGCCACGGCUAACUACGUGCCAGCAGCCGCGGUAAUACGUAGGUGGCGAGCGUUGUCCGGAAUUACUGGGCGUAAAGGGUGCGUAGGCGGUUUCUUAAGUCAGAUGUGAAAUCCCAGGGCUCAACUCUGGAGUUGCAUUUGAAACUGGGGAGCUAGAGUGCAGGAGAGGAAAGCGGAAUUCCUAGUGUAGCGGUGAAAUGCGUAGAUA
This 648-nucleotide ribosomal RNA is filed under the name uncultured Actinobacteridae bacterium. RNAcentral describes it as "bacterial SSU rRNA". It matches the Rfam family "Bacterial small subunit ribosomal RNA", at positions 28 to 696 of the family's 1533-position model. Lineage: Bacteria; Bacillati; Actinomycetota; Actinomycetes. The record is from RNAcentral.